GCCUCAGUAACGGCGAGUGAGCGGCAAAAGCUCAAAUUUGAAAUCCCCCGGGAAUUGUAAUUUGAAGAGAUUUGGGUCCGGCCGGCAGGGGUUAAGUCCACUGGAAAGUGGCGCCACAGAGGGUGACAGCCCCGUGAACCCCUUCAACGCCCUCAUCCCAGAUCUCCAAGAGUCGAGUUGUUUGGGAAUGCAGCUCUAAGUGGGUGGUAAAUUCCAUCUAAAGCUAAAUACCGGCGAGAGACCGAUAGCGAACAAGUACAGUGAUGGAAAGAUGAAAAGCACUUUGAAAAGAGAGUGAAAAAGUACGUGAAAUUGUUGAAAGGGAAGGGCUUGCAAGCAGACACUUAACUGGGCCAGCAUCGGGGCGGCGGGAAACAAAACCACCGGGGAAUGUACCUUUCGAGGAUUAUAACCCCGGUCUCUAUUUCCUUGUUGCCCCGAGGCCUGCAAUCUAAGGAUGCUGGCGUAAUGGUUGCAAGUCGCCCGUCUUGAACAAACGGAACCAAA
Molecule: ribosomal RNA, 507 nt
Filed under: Metschnikowia pulcherrima
Lineage: Eukaryota; Fungi; Ascomycota; Pichiomycetes; Serinales; Metschnikowiaceae
Description: partial large subunit ribosomal RNA
Rfam family: Eukaryotic large subunit ribosomal RNA
Source: RNAcentral